AUGCAGCCACCACCAGGGUAUUCUGUUCCUGAUGGCAUGGUAUGUUGUUUUUGUCUCUCUCUUUAUGGCCUUAAGCAAGCCCCUUGUGCCUGGUUUGAGCGUUUUGCAUCUGUGGUGACCGCCGCUGGUUUUUCAGCGAGUGCUCAUGAUCCGGCGCUGUUUGUCCACCUUGCAACUCGUGGUCGGACUCUUCUUCUUCUAUAUGUUGAUGACAUGAUCAUCACUGGCGAUGACCCUGAGUACAUUGCCUUUAUCAAGGCCCAUCUCCGUGAGCGGUUUCUUAUGUCCGAUCUUGGUCCUCUUCGUUACUUUCUUGGGAUUGAGGUUUCCUCCCACCUCUGA
RNAcentral lists this ribosomal RNA (342 nucleotides) under Triticum aestivum (bread wheat). RNAcentral's name for it is "partial small subunit ribosomal RNA". The record is from RNAcentral. Lineage: Eukaryota; Viridiplantae; Streptophyta; Magnoliopsida; Poales; Poaceae.